CAGGGAGACAACAAAAUGUUUAAUAUUAUUAUUUUGUCACCUUAGGUCGAUCGGUAUCUCACGUUCUUAAUUUGUUAAGAAUUUCAUUUCCUAAGUUUUUCUAGGUCACACCCAUUAUUUUUCCUGGGCCAUUAGCUCAGGUGGUUAGAGCGCACCCCUGAUAAGGGUGAGGUCCCUGGUUCAAGUCCAGGAUGGCCCAUAUCUCUAUGUUGGGGGUAUAGCUCAGUUGGUAGAGCGCCUGCUUUGCAAGCAGGAUGUCAGCGGUUCGAGUCCGCUUACCUCCACUGAUUACCACCUCUUCAUAGCUGGUAGAAAGGAAAUGUUUUGAAUUGUGAUCCUUAUUCUGAACGAAUCUAGCUUCCUAAUGAAAUCAUUAAGAUGCUGGACUCAUUGAAUUAAUUUCAUUGUUUUCAGAGAACCUUAACAACUGCAUAGAUUAUUUUAAAGACAAUAAGCAUCUUUAAUGAUGCAGAUUUAUUAUUUGUGCGAAUGCAUUAAUAACAAUUCUAUUAAGCUGAUGCUUCAAUUUUUGAAGUUAUU
RNAcentral lists this transfer RNA (540 nucleotides) under uncultured cyanobacterium. RNAcentral's name for it is "partial 16S-23S ribosomal RNA intergenic spacer". The stretch from base 212 to 284 matches the Rfam family "tRNA". Lineage: Bacteria; Bacillati; Cyanobacteriota. The record is from RNAcentral.